Molecule: ribosomal RNA, 703 nt
Filed under: Arthrobacter sp. CB4
Lineage: Bacteria; Bacillati; Actinomycetota; Actinomycetes; Micrococcales; Micrococcaceae
Description: bacterial SSU rRNA
Rfam family: Bacterial small subunit ribosomal RNA
Source: RNAcentral
UGCAGUCGACGAUGACUUCUGUGCUUGCACAGAAUGAUUAGUGGCGAACGGGUGAGUAACACGUGAGUAACCUGCCCUUAACUUCGGGAUAAGCCUGGGAAACCGGGUCUAAUACCGGAUACGACCUCCUGGCGCAUGCCAUGGUGGUGGAAAGCUUUAGCGGUUUUGGAUGGACUCGCGGCCUAUCAGCUUGUUGGUUGGGGUAAUGGCCCACCAAGGCGACGACGGGUAGCCGGCCUGAGAGGGUGACCGGCCACACUGGGACUGAGACACGGCCCAGACUCCUACGGGAGGCAGCAGUGGGGAAUAUUGCACAAUGGGCGAAAGCCUGAUGCAGCGACGCCGCGUGAGGGAUGACGGCCUUCGGGUUGUAAACCUCUUUCAGCAGGGAAGAAGCGAAAGUGACGGUACCUGCAGAAGAAGCGCCGGCUAACUACGUGCCAGCAGCCGCGGUAAUACGUAGGGCGCAAGCGUUAUCCGGAAUUAUUGGGCGUAAAGAGCUCGUAGGCGGUUUGUCGCGUCUGCUGUGAAAGCCCGGGGCUCAACCCCGGGUCUGCAGUGGGUACGGGCAGACUAGAGUGCAGUAGGGGAGACUGGAAUUCCUGGUGUAGCGGUGAAAUGCGCAGAUAUCAGGAGGAACACCGAUGGCGAAGGCAGGUCUCUGGGCUGUAACUGACGCUGAGGAGCGAAAGCAUGGGGAGCG